RNAcentral lists this ribosomal RNA (349 nucleotides) under uncultured bacterium. RNAcentral describes it as "bacterial SSU rRNA". It matches the Rfam family "Bacterial small subunit ribosomal RNA", at positions 8 to 353 of the family's 1533-position model. The record is from RNAcentral.
AGAGUUUGAUCCUGGCUCAGAUUGAACGCUGGCGGCAUGCUUUACACAUGCAAGUCGAACGGCAGCACAGGGAGCUUGCUCCCGGGUGGCGAGUGGCGCACGGGUGAGUAAUACAUCGGAACGUGUCCUGUUGUGGGGGGAUAACUGGCUCGAAAGGGUGGCUAAUACCGCAUGAAACCUGAGGGUGAAANCGGGGGAUCGCAAGACCUCGCGCAAUUGGAGCGGCCGAUGCCCGAUUAGCUAGUUGGUGAGGUAAAGGCUCACCAAGGCGACGAUCGGUAGCUGGUCUGAGAGGACGACCAGCCACACUGGGACUGAGACACGGCCCAGACUCCUACGGGAGGCAGCA